Molecule: ribosomal RNA, 422 nt
Filed under: uncultured bacterium
Lineage: Bacteria
Description: partial 16S ribosomal RNA
Rfam family: Bacterial small subunit ribosomal RNA
Source: RNAcentral
AAUCUUCCGCAAUGGGCGAAAGCCUGGCGGAGCAACGCUGCGUGAACGAAGAAGGCCUUCACAUCGUAAAGUUCUGUCCUCAGGGAAGCACGCUCAUGGGAGGAAAUCCGCAUGAUCUGACGGGAGCUGGGAAGGAAGCCCUGGCGAACUACGUGCCAGCGGCCGCGGUAAUACGUAGAGGGCAAGCGUUGUCCGGAAUUACUGGGCGUAAAGGGUACGCAGGCGGAUAUAUAAGUCAAAUGUGAAAGGCACCGGCUCAACCGGUGAGCGGCAUUUGAAACUGUAUAUCUUGAGUUCAGGAGAGGAGAGCGGAAUUCCUGGUGUAGCGGUGGAAUGCGUAGAUAUCAGGAAGAACACCAGUGGCGAAGGCGGCUCUCUGGCCUGAAACUGACGCUCAGGUACGAAAGCUGGGGGAGCGAACG